UCAUUAUAGGGAUUCUCUACUGUCAUUAAUCACUUAAUUUAAGUUAUCCUAACCUUUUCGUGACCAAACCAUGUAAAUAAUUAUUUUUCCCUUUUCCUAGUUUUAUAUCUUUGAAGAAUCUAUUCACUCUACCUUGAGUGUCUUAAUAUUUCUCUAAAUUAAUUUUUAUAUAUUUAUUCAGAAUAUACUAUUUACUUAUUUGGGGCUAUGUAUUUAACAAGAAACUCUUUAAAGUUGAAAUUUAAGUUAAUCUGUGUUCUCAUUUAAUUUUAGGUGACUGAACUUGAAUGUGUUAGUAGCCAAGCAAAUGCAGUACAUACUCAUAAGACAGAAUUAAAUCAGACAAUACAAGAACUGGAAGAGACACUGAAAGUGAAGGAAGAGGAAAUAGAAAGGUUAAAACAAGAAAUCGAUAAUGCCAGAGAACUACAAGAACAGAGGGAUUCUCUGACUCAGAAACUACAGGAAGUAGAAAUUCGGAACAAAGACCUGGAGGGACAACUGUCUGACUUAGAGCAACGUCUGGAGAAAAGUCAGAAUGAACAAGAAGCUUUUCGCAGUAACCUGAAGACACUCUUAGAAAUUCUGGAUGGAAAGAUAUUUGAACUAACAGAAUUACGAGAUAACUUGGCCAAGCUACUAGAAUGCAGCUAAGGAAAGUGAAAUUUCAGUGCCAAUUAAUUAAAAGAUACACUGUCUCUCUUCAUAGGACUGUUUAGGCUCUGCAUCAAGAUUGCACAAAAAAAAAAAAAAAAAAA
Molecule: small RNA, 758 nt
Filed under: Pongo abelii (Sumatran orangutan)
Lineage: Eukaryota; Metazoa; Chordata; Mammalia; Primates; Hominidae
Description: retained intron
Source: RNAcentral